GACGAACGCUGGCGGCGUGCUUAAUACAUGCAAGUCGAACGGACAGGCCCUGCUUUUGCGGGGUGCUCGAGUGGCGAACGGGUGAGUAACACGCGAGUAACCUGCCCCUGACUUUGGGGUAAAUUCAGGAGACUGGGGCUCAUACCGGAUAGGAGCUCUUGAUGCACGGUGGGGGUUGGAAAGUUUCGGCGGUUGGGGAUGGACUCGCGGCUUAUCAGCUUGUUGGUGGGGUAGUGGCUUACCAAGGCUUUGACGGAUAGCCGGCCUGAGCGGUGGACCGGCCACAUGGGGACUGAGAUACGACCCAGAAUCCUACGGGAGGCAGCAGGGGGGAGUAUUGCACAAUGGGCGGAAGCCUGAUGCAGCAACGCCGCGUGCGGGAUGACGUCCUUCGAGUUGUAAACCGCUUUCGCCUGUGACGAAGCGGGAGUGACGGUAAUGGAUAAAGAAGCACCGGCUAACUACGUG
This 468-nucleotide ribosomal RNA is filed under the name uncultured bacterium. Its description in RNAcentral is "partial 16S ribosomal RNA". It matches the Rfam family "Bacterial small subunit ribosomal RNA", at positions 28 to 507 of the family's 1533-position model. The record is from RNAcentral.